CGUAGGGUGCAAGCGUUAAUCGGAAUUACUGGGCGUAAAGCGUGCGCAGGCGGUUUUGUAAGUCUGUCGUGAAAUCCCCGGGCUCAACCUGGGAAUUGCGAUGGAGACUGCAAGGCUAGAAUCUGGCAGAGGGGGGUAGAAUUCCACGUGUAGCAGUGAAAUGCGUAGAGAUGUGGAGGAACACCGAUGGCAAAGGCAGCCCCCUGGGUCAAGAUUGACGCUCAUGCACGAAAGCGUGGGGAGCAAACAGGAUUAGAUACCCUGGUAGUCCACGCCCUAAACGAUGUCUACUAGUUGUCGGGGUUUUAAUUAACUUGGUAACGCAGCUAACGCGUGAAGUAGACCGCCUGGGGAGUACGGUCGCAAGAUUA
Molecule: ribosomal RNA, 371 nt
Filed under: uncultured organism
Description: bacterial SSU rRNA
Rfam family: Bacterial small subunit ribosomal RNA
Source: RNAcentral